This 73-nucleotide transfer RNA is filed under the name Chlorophthalmus nigromarginatus. RNAcentral describes it as "tRNA-Val". It matches the Rfam family "tRNA". Rfam says of the family: Transfer RNA (tRNA) molecules are approximately 80 nucleotides in length. Lineage: Eukaryota; Metazoa; Chordata; Actinopteri; Aulopiformes; Chlorophthalmidae. The record is from RNAcentral.
CAAGGCGUAGCUAAGAUAGCUAAAGCAUCUCCCUUACACCGAGAAGACACCCGUGCAACUCGGGUCGCCCUGA